Molecule: ribosomal RNA, 440 nt
Filed under: uncultured bacterium
Lineage: Bacteria
Description: partial 16S ribosomal RNA
Rfam family: Bacterial small subunit ribosomal RNA
Source: RNAcentral
CCUACGGGAGACUGCAGUGGGGAAUAUUGCACAAUGGGGGAAACCCUGAUGCAGCGACGCCGCGUGAGUGAAGAAGUAUUUCGGUAUGUAAAGCUCUAUCAGCAGGGAAGAAGAUGACGGUACCUGUUCAAUAAGCCCCGGCUAACUACGUGCCAGCAGCCGCGGUAAUACGUAGGGGGCAAGCGUUAUCCGGAUUUACUGGGUGUAAAGGGAGCGCAGACGGCAGCGCAAGUCUGAAGUGAAAUGCCGGGGCUUAACCCCGGAACUGCUUUGGAAACUGUGCAGCUAGAGUGCAGGAGAGGGAAGUGGAAUUCCUAGUGUAGCGGUGAAAUGCGUAGAGAUUAGGAGGAACACCAGUGGCGAAGGCGGCCUACUGGACUGUAACUGACGUUGAGGCUCGAAAGCGUGGGGAGCAAACAGGAUUAGAUACCCGGGUAGUC